AAACCGCCCCCUAAGUUUUGCAACUGUAGCAGUUUUGGCCCCCCAAGACUAAUUUUGGUAAAAAAAAAAUAACAUGUGGCACCUCACUUAGGGUGCCACGUCAACAUAGAUCGAUUCAAAAUUGACCUUGGAGGCCAAACUGCCACAUAUGCAAAAAUUAGGGGGCGGUUU
This 171-nucleotide microRNA precursor is filed under the name Medicago truncatula (barrel medic). RNAcentral's name for it is "MIR2619 microRNA precursor family". It matches the Rfam family "MIR2619 microRNA precursor family". The record is from Rfam by way of RNAcentral. Lineage: Eukaryota; Viridiplantae; Streptophyta; Magnoliopsida; Fabales; Fabaceae.